This 425-nucleotide ribosomal RNA is filed under the name uncultured bacterium. Its description in RNAcentral is "partial 16S ribosomal RNA". It matches the Rfam family "Bacterial small subunit ribosomal RNA", at positions 354 to 796 of the family's 1533-position model. The record is from RNAcentral.
GUGAGGAAUAUUGGACAAUGGGCGCAAGCCUGAUCCAGCCAUGCCGCGUGAGUGAUGAAGGCCUUCGGGUUGUAAAGCUCUUUAGCCGAUGAUUAUAAUGACUGUAGUCGGAAAAUAAGCCCCGGCUAACUUCGUGCCAGCAGCCGCGGUAAUACGAAGGGGGCGAGCGUUAUUCGGAAUCACUGGGCGUAAAGCGUGCGUAGGCGGCUUUGCAAGUUGGGAGUGAAAGCCCAGGGCUCAACCCUGGAAUUGCUCUCAAAACUGCAAGGCUCGAAUUCGGGAGAGGAUAGCGGAAUUGUCAGUGUAGCAGUGAAAUGCGUAGAUAUUGACAGGAACACCAGUGGCGUAAGCGGCUAUCUGGACCGAUAUUGACGCUGAGGCACGAAAGCGUGGGGAUCAAACAGGAUUAGAAACCCGUGUAGUCC